GAUGAACGCUGGCGGCGUGCCUAAUACAUGCAAGUCGAGCGAACAGACGAGGAUCUUGCUUCUCUUACGUUAGCGGCGGACGGGUGAGUAACACGUGGAUAACCUACCUAUAAGACUGGGAUAACUUCGGGAAACCGGAGCUAAUACCGGAUAAUAUAUUGAACCGCAUGGUUCAAUAGUGAAAGACGGUUUUGCUGUCACUUAUAGAUGGAUCCGCGCCGCAUUAGCUAGUUGGUAAGGUAACGGCUUACCAAGGCAACGAUGCGUAGCCGACCUGAGAGGGUGAUCGGCCACACUGGAACUGAGACACGGUCCAGACUCCUACGGGAGGCAGCAGUAGGGAAUAUUCCGCAAUGGGCGAAAGCCUGACGGAGCAACGCCGCGUGAGUGAUGAAGGUCUUCGGAUCGUAAAACUCUGUUAUUAGGGAAGAACAAAAGUGUAAGUAACUCUGCACGUCUUGACGGUACCAAAACAGAAAGCCACGGCUAACUACGUG
RNAcentral lists this ribosomal RNA (497 nucleotides) under uncultured bacterium. Its description in RNAcentral is "partial 16S ribosomal RNA". It matches the Rfam family "Bacterial small subunit ribosomal RNA", at positions 28 to 507 of the family's 1533-position model. The record is from RNAcentral.